Long non-coding RNA from Pipistrellus kuhlii (Kuhl's pipistrelle), 487 nucleotides. RefSeq lists it as uncharacterized. The transcript is spliced from 3 exons. The record is from RefSeq and is a predicted model, not a curated record. NCBI's taxonomy places the organism in Eukaryota, Metazoa, Chordata, Mammalia, Chiroptera, Vespertilionidae.
GGAUAACUGAGCCGGCGCCGCGCUUACCUCGCAGUCCUCGUACUUGAUAUUAUCCGUCAGUUUCCAAAGCAUUUUCAUGGAUCGGCGUGAACUGAUUUGCCCCCUCUCUGCCUCGCACCCAAGUGCAGCUACUCUCGGGCUCUUUACCAACAGCCUAAUCGCCUCAUUAGCAUAUCAACAAUAAUCCAAUUGCUUGCCGGCAGGACUCUCUGCCUCCGAACCAGAAAUUAUCCUUUUCGCAAUUAAAUAUAACCACCAAACCAAGAUCAGCGUAGUCACUCCAGGAUUUUUGCCCAAGAAAUGACCGCCUCCACCGGGGCAGCCACCACCACCUCGGGCCAGAGGUUUGGGAGUUUUAUGGGCUUGGUGCUUUCCCCCCAGGUUGGAGGUUUUGCCGCCGAACGGCCUCCGUCGCUCGGCUGGGGUUUGCGAUUCUUUAAUUGCCGCGUGUAAAAUAAAAAUUGUACCCUGAAGAGGCCACUUGACA